AAGGGAGACCUAAUUCAGGUAUAAGACGAAAAAAAAGUAGUCCCUACCAAGAAUCAAUCCCAAAAGGUCGGAACGAGGUAUGAGGCUUUCAAACUAGGUUCUGGGUUCAUAAAAGACCUGAAUCAGGAACAAGGGCUAUUAGCUCAGGUGGUUAGAGCGCACCCCUGAUAAGGGUGAGGUCCCUGGUUCGAGUCCAGGAUGGCCCACCUGCACAGGUGGCAAAAACAAGAGAAGCGAGGAAUCAGCACCUUAUCUUAUAUACAUAUAUAAGAGAGAAUGCUGGCUCUGAGUACAGAGUCCAGAGGAACCUUGAAAACUGCAUAGAGCUAGGCGAAAAAGCCAAAAAAGAAGACCGCAA
Molecule: transfer RNA, 358 nt
Filed under: uncultured cyanobacterium
Lineage: Bacteria; Bacillati; Cyanobacteriota
Description: 16S-23S ribosomal RNA intergenic spacer
Rfam family: tRNA (bases 133-206)
Source: RNAcentral